AAACAGGCGGUACAUACCUUCUCUCUCUACACCUUCUCUCUCGUUCUCUCUAAACAAGCGAUUCCCCAAAUUAAAUCACUGUAAUAUAAGAGGUUUAAAGAGAUUACAAUGAUGUAAGAUGGUCAUAUCCGUUAACGAUUCUCCCAAAUCCUUUAGCUUUUAUGUAAGGAGAUCAGAUUUCAACUUGUUUAAGGUAGCCAAGGAAUCUAAAACAGCUGGUAAAACUAUUGGGAUCGAUGUCGACAAUUAUUUUUGAUAGAAUACUAGGUUCUGUCCCUUUUGUGUGAGCCUUGCCUUGG
Long non-coding RNA from Nicotiana tabacum (common tobacco), 299 nucleotides. RefSeq lists it as uncharacterized. Lineage: Eukaryota; Viridiplantae; Streptophyta; Magnoliopsida; Solanales; Solanaceae. The record is from RefSeq and is a predicted model, not a curated record.